AGACGUAGGGGGCGAGCGUUACCCGGAUUUACUGGGCGUAAAGCGCGCGUAGGCGGCUCGGCAAGUUGGGCGUGAAAGCUCCCUGCUCAACGGGGAGAGGCCGCUCAAGGCUGCCGGGCUCGAGGGCGGUAGAGGGAGGCGGAAUUCCCGGAGUAGCGGUGAAAUGCGUAGAUACCGGGAGGAACGCCAGUGGGGAAGCCGGCCUCCUGGGCCGUCCCUGACGCUGAGGCGCGAAAGCCAGGGGAGCGAACCGGAUUAGAUACCCCAGUAGUCC
Molecule: ribosomal RNA, 274 nt
Filed under: uncultured bacterium
Lineage: Bacteria
Description: partial 16S ribosomal RNA
Rfam family: Bacterial small subunit ribosomal RNA
Source: RNAcentral